CCGGUAAACGGCGGCCGUAACUAUAACGGUCCUAAGGUAGCGAAAUUCCUUGUCGGGUAAGUUCCGACCUGCACGAAUGGCGUAAUGAUGGCCAGGCUGUCUCCACCCGAGACUCAGUGAAAUUGAACUCGCUGUGAAGAUGCAGUGUACCCGCGGCAAGACGGAAAGACCCCGUGAACCUUUACUAUAGCUUGACACUGAACAUUGAGCCUUGAUGUGUAGGAUAGGUGGGAGGCUUUGAAGUGUGGACGCCAGUCUGCAUGGAGCCGACCUUGAAAUACCACCCUUUAAUGUUUGAUGUUCUAACGUUGGCCCCUGAUCGGGGUUGCGGACAGUGUCUGGUGGGUAGUUUGACUGGGGCGGUCUCCUCCUAAAGAGUAACGGAGGAGCACGAAGGUUGGCUAAUCCUGGUCGGACAUCAGGAGGUUAGUGCAAUGGCAUAAGCCAGCUUGACUGCGAGCGUGACGGCGCGAGCAGGUGCGAAAGCAGGUCAUAGUGAUCCGGUGGUUCUGAAUGGAAGGGCCAUCGCUCAACGGAUAAAAGGUACUCCGGGGAUAACAGGCUGAUACCGCCCAAGAGUUCAUAUCGACGGCGGUGUUUGGCACCUCGAUGUCGGCUCAUCACAUCCUGGGGCUGAAGUAGGUCCCAAGGGUAUGGCUGUUCGCCAUUUAAAGUGGUACGCGAGCUGGGUUUAGAACGUCGUGAGACAGUUCGGUCCCUAUCUGCCGUGGGCGCUGGAGAACUGAGGGGGGCUGCUCCUAGUACGAGAGGACCGGAGUGGACGCAUCACUGGUGUUCGGGUUGUCAUGCCAAUGGCACU
This 820-nucleotide ribosomal RNA is filed under the name Escherichia coli. RNAcentral describes it as "partial 23S ribosomal RNA". It matches the Rfam family "Bacterial large subunit ribosomal RNA", at positions 1920 to 2739 of the family's 2925-position model. Lineage: Bacteria; Pseudomonadati; Pseudomonadota; Gammaproteobacteria; Enterobacterales; Enterobacteriaceae. The record is from RNAcentral.